AGACCCGAAACCCGGUGAUCUAGCCAUGGGCAGGUUGAAGGUUGGGUAACACUAACUGGAGGACCGAACCGACUAAUGUUGAAAAAUUAGCGGAUGACCUGUGGCUGGGGGUGAAAGGCCAAUCAAACCGGGAGAUAGCUGGUUCUCCCCGAAAGCUAUUUAGGUAGCGCCUCGUGAAUUCAUCUCCGGGGGUAGAGCACUGUUUCGGCUAGGGGGCCAUCCCGGCUUACCAACCCGAUGCAAACUGCGAAUACCGGAGAAUGUUAUCACGGGAGACACACGGCGGGUGCUAACGUCCGUCGUGAAGAGGGAAACAACCCAGACCGCCAGCUAAGGUCCCAAAGUCAUGGUUAAGUGGGAAACGAUGUGGGAAGGCCCAGACAGCCAGGAUGUUGGCUUAGAAGCAGCCAUCAUUUAAAGAAAGCGUAAUAGCUCACUGGUCGAGUCGGCCUGCGCGGAAGAUGUAACGGGGCUAAACCAUGCACCGAAGCUGCGGCAGCGACACUGUGUGUUGUUGGGUAGGGGAGCGUUCUGUAAGCCUGUGAAGGUGUGUCGUGAGGCAUGCUGGAGGUAUCAGAAGUGCGAAUGCUGACAUAAGUAACGAUAAAGCGGGUGAAAAGCCCGCUCGCCGGAAGACCAAGGGUUCCUGUCCAACGUUAAUCGGGGCAGGGUGAGUCGACCCCUAAGGCGAGGCC
RNAcentral lists this ribosomal RNA (695 nucleotides) under Salmonella enterica. Its description in RNAcentral is "partial 23S ribosomal RNA". It matches the Rfam family "Bacterial large subunit ribosomal RNA", at positions 711 to 1403 of the family's 2925-position model. The record is from RNAcentral. Lineage: Bacteria; Pseudomonadati; Pseudomonadota; Gammaproteobacteria; Enterobacterales; Enterobacteriaceae.